This 426-nucleotide ribosomal RNA is filed under the name uncultured bacterium. Its description in RNAcentral is "partial 16S ribosomal RNA". It matches the Rfam family "Bacterial small subunit ribosomal RNA", at positions 354 to 796 of the family's 1533-position model. The record is from RNAcentral.
GUUAGGAAUAUUGGACAAUGGGCGCAAGCCUGAUCCAGCCAUGCCGCGUGAGUGAUGAAGGCCUUCGGGUUGUAAAGCUCUUUAGCCGAUGAUUAUAAUGACUGUAGUCGGAAAAUAAGCCCCGGCUAACUUCGUGCCAGCAGCCGCGGUAAUACGAAGGGGGCGAGCGUUAUUCGGAAUCACUGGGCGUAAAGCGUGCGUAGGCGGCUUUGCAAGUUGGGAGUGAAAGCCCAGGGCUCAACCCUGGAAUUGCUCUCAAAACUGCAAGGCUCGAAUUCGGGAGAGGAUAGCGGAAUUGUCAGUGUAGCAGUGAAAUGCGUAGAUAUUGACAGGAACACCAGUGGCGUAAGCGGCUAUCUGGACCGAUAUUGACGCUGAGGCACGAAAGCGUGGGGAUCAAACAGGAUUAGAUACCCUCUGUAGUCC